CCGAACUCACGACCUUGAGUGUGAUUUUUUUGAGAGGGAAAGUAUUCUGCCUCAGAAUUCUCGCUAACCUGCUCUGGACUAAGAGAGGGACUGAACAUCCAGAGAAAUGUAUAAAUUGGAGGCCUUCACCAGGCAGACUUUCUAAAAUAAGCAUGUGCAGUGAACACAUUGAAUAAUUGUGUUUAAUGGCAAGAAGUUCAACAUUUAACUAUAAAUACGGAAUUGGGACAAAAAAAUACAGACAUGAAGGCAUAACCAUUAAGUCUCAACAUCAUGAUCAAAUUUUCAUAAGGAAAUAAUUUAUUACAACUGAAGUUUUGAUUUGUUAAAAGUAGUUAAAGUCAGCCACAUGAACAGAGAGAAAUAUAACUUCAAUUUUAUUUCUUGUAUCACAGGAGCUGUUGACAGUACAUGUGGGGUUAUCCAGACACUGUUUCAAAAUGAUGUGAGUGGUCGGGACGUUAAUCAUCUGCCGACUCACUGUGGGAGGAGGACUCGGCGCCAGGUGCAGCGCAACAGCUGCUGUCCCUCAGUUACCGGGAUCGUGUCACAAUUCAUUUCCAUUAUGGCAGUCUGGUGUUCAAAAUCUGCUUCAAGCUAGUCACACAUAUGCUGAACGGCUGCUGGCACAGAGAAUAAAAAAACCCUGCGGGCACAAAAUAAAACAAGCCUUGGAGAGUUUUCUCAUCCCAGACAACCUACAGAGUUUGUGUCAAUUUGGAGUCACUGAUGCAAACAUUUUGUUCAGAUACUUUAUUUGUUUUCCACCCACAUGGCAUCAACAAGAAUGUUUUCAAGGUCAAAUGAGUAUUUUGACAAGAUGGUUGGAGUGGAAGAAGCUGACUUGGAACAUAGAAUUAAUUUAGGAGUGCAAGCCAUGCACAAAGAUGACAGAAAGACCCUGGUUCCUUGAAGACAUUUUGGAGCAGAUCUGUCAUACCAGACUUGCAUUGCUUGGAAGAUACAAACUUCUGUUUUGUUUAAACCAUUGUUAUUUUAUCUUUCUUACACUCCCAGAUAAAAUAAAAAUGAACUGAUA
This is a long non-coding RNA of Chinchilla lanigera (long-tailed chinchilla), 1039 nucleotides long. RefSeq lists it as uncharacterized. The record is from RefSeq and is a predicted model, not a curated record. The transcript has 5 exons. NCBI's taxonomy places the organism in Eukaryota, Metazoa, Chordata, Mammalia, Rodentia, Chinchillidae.